CUAGCGGCAGGCUUAACACAUGCAAGUCAGGGGGCAGCGGGAUGUAGCAAUACAUUGCCGGCGACCGGCGGAUGGGUGCGUAACGCGUAUGCAACCUACCUUAUACAGGGGAAUAACCUUUCGAAAGGGAGACUAACACCCCAUAGUAUUGAUUUAAGGCAUCUUAGAUUAAUUAAAUAUUUAUAGGUAUAAGAUGGGCAUGCGUAUGAUUAGCUAGUUGGUAAGGUAACGGCUUACCAAGGCGACGAUCAUUAGGGGUUCUGAGAGGAAGGUCCCCCACACUGGUACUGAGACACGGACCAGACUCCUACGGGAGGCAGCAGUGAGGAAUAUUGGUCAAUGGGCGCAAGCCUGAACCAGCCAUGCCGCGUGCAGGAAGACGGCCUUAUGGGUUGUAAACUGCUUUUACAUAAGACUAACCGUAUAUUUGCGAAUAUACCUGAAUGUAUUAUGAGAAUAAGGAUCGGCUAACUCCGUGCCAGCCGCGGC
RNAcentral lists this ribosomal RNA (489 nucleotides) under uncultured bacterium. Its description in RNAcentral is "bacterial SSU rRNA". It matches the Rfam family "Bacterial small subunit ribosomal RNA", at positions 36 to 518 of the family's 1533-position model. The record is from RNAcentral.